AUCACUUGCUGCUAUUCACUGCUAAUGUGCUAAUUGUCAUCAAUUUACUGCCUCAAUUAUGUGGUCAUACACUUGCCUCGAGGUAUAGAGAUGUGAUAUAAGGAUCUGGAGGAGAAACAAGCUCUCCCUGGUUUUAAUGCAGGAAAAGAAACCUGGAGUGAGUCUGAACAUGGAUGGAGUUGCAGAAUUCUCCCAGAGAAAAAUUAUUCUAACACGGAGAUGAUGGUGCUGUGCUGUUGAUGCCACCAAGGCCACCCACCUGUGGGCAGCUGCAGCUAUUUUCUUGUGUUGAAGCCACAUUGGAAUCUGAGGUGCUCACGUUCUGGUGAAGUUCUUUGGGUUCUUUUUUCCUGACAAGAAAUGAAGAACAAAUGUUUGCUGGAUUCCUCUGUUCCUUAUACCAUUUUGAUGACCUUAUGUUUUUCACUUUUGGCCCUGCAUAGCUAUCUUUUCUUUUAUAAUAAUGUUUGCAGGCAGCCCUUUUCUCCAUAGUGAAAGCCAGUGCCCCAGGAGUCAGCACAGGUUCAUCAGCAGAAGUGUUCAGCAAAUACUCUGCUCUUCAGGCUGCUCCUCACAGGCAUUUGUUCCCUUAUUUUUACUUCUACAAGAAAGGAAAGUCCCGGAAAGAACAUAAUUCUUGUUCACAAAUCUAGGGAUAGGGAACCUGGGACACACCUGAGCAUCUGCACCUUCCUGGGAGGGCUGGAAUGCGAGGGGCUCAGCCUGAGGCUGAAGAAGAGGAGCCCCCUGAGCAUGCUCUGGGCAGGCUGCCAGGCUCCUUCUGCUUCUGCAUCUUCUUUUUGGCCAGCAAGAGCUCACCAACCUCCCCACGCCCCUGAUUAGUGCCCAGCUUGGACCCUGCUGCUUUCCUCAAGCCUGUUGGAUGUGGCAUGCACCACGGGGGGGUUAGGAAGGGGUUUGUUUUGCCAAAAAAUUACUAAAGAAGCUCACAUUCCAUUUGUGCCAUCCACCCUUAAUUCCCUGGGGAUGAUUUUGUUAGUCUCAGUUGGGGCAGUGAGUCCUUUUCUUUCUCCUGCCUGCUCAGUGCAGCAGAGGGAAAGCUGGAUAAAAACAAUCAGGGAAAAUAAAGCAACACUUCUGCUCUAGUAGGAGCUGUUAUAAUCCAAAUCAGCUGAUAAAAGCAUUCUUGACAGUGAUUUGGGAUUGAAGUCCACCAAAAAAAUGGUUAAAAGGUUACAUCAGAAAACAGAACUUUUGAGAACAAAUUGUUGCUGCAGAAAUGCACCUGGGAAGAUCAGGUUUAACACUCUGCCUUGUUCUUCCCAUUUCCCUCUCAGAUCCUUUAGUAUCCAUCCUUUAGAAGUGCCAAAGGAAUGUGGCAGCAUUUUUAAAUUAAGCUCAGGUGUGCAAACAGCUCUGAUCCUUCUGCCUCCACAGCCACAUGCAUAAGGAAAUGAAAAAAAAAUUACUAAAGGUCAUUGUUUCUGCAUUUAAUUUUGUAUUUAUUUGUUUGGUAAGACACCCCAGUCAGAUGCUCUGGGCACUCCUGGCUAUUAAUUGCAAACUCAGCGUGCCAUGCAAUUAAGGGAAACAAAACAAGACUGAAAAGCUUCAGAAAUAGAUGAGAAAAUAGGAAAAUCACAACAGCAAACAGGAAAAUCAAACAAAAACUGCAGAAGUCACCAGACUCAUGUGCUGGCAGAGGAGAUGAGCUGUGAGAGCAGGAUGGGGCA
Long non-coding RNA from Passer domesticus (house sparrow), 1694 nucleotides. RefSeq lists it as uncharacterized. NCBI's taxonomy places the organism in Eukaryota, Metazoa, Chordata, Aves, Passeriformes, Passeridae. The record is from RefSeq and is a predicted model, not a curated record. The transcript is spliced from 3 exons.